Molecule: ribosomal RNA, 497 nt
Filed under: uncultured bacterium
Lineage: Bacteria
Description: partial 16S ribosomal RNA
Rfam family: Bacterial small subunit ribosomal RNA
Source: RNAcentral
GAGGAAGGCGGGCGGCGUGCCUAAUACAUGCAAGUCGAGCGAACAGACGAGGAGCUUGCUCCUCUGACGUUAGCGGCGGACGGGUGAGUAACACGUGGAUAACCUACCUAUAAGACUGGGAUAACUUCGGGAAACCGGAGCUAAUACCGGAUAAUAUAUUGAACCGCAUGGUUCAAUAGUGAAAGACGGUUUUGCUGUCACUUAUAGAUGGAUCCGCGCCGCAUUAGCUAGUUGGUAAGGUAACGGCUUACCAAGGCGACGAUGCGUAGCCGACCUGAGAGGGUGAUCGGCCACACUGGAACUGAGACACGGUCCAGACUCCUACGGGAGGCAGCAGUAGGGAAUCUUCCGCAAUGGGCGAAAGCCUGACGGAGCAACGCCGCGUGAGUGAUGAAGGUCUUCGGAUCGUAAAACUCUGUUAUUAGGGAAGAACAAAUGUGUAAGUAACUAUGCACGUCUUGACGGUACCUAAUCAGAAAGCCACGGCUAACUACGUG